CCUACGGGUGGCUGCAGUGCGGAAUAUUGGUCAAUGGACGAGAGUCUGAACCAGCCAAGUAGCGUGAAGGAUGACUGCCCUAUGGGUUGUAAACCUCUUUUAUAAAGGAAUAAAACGAGGCACGUGUGCCUUUUUGCAUGUACUUUAUGAAUAAGGAUCGGCUAACCCAGUGCCAGCAGCCGCGGUAAUACGGAGGAUUCGAGCGGUAUCCGGAUUUGAUGGGUUUAAAGGGAGCGUAGAUGGGUUGUUAAGUCAGUUGUGAAAGUUUGCGGCUCAACCGUAAAAUUGCAAUUGAUACUGGCAGUCUUGAGUGCAGUUGAGGUAGGCGGAAUUCGUGGUGUAGCGGUGAAAUGCUUAGAUAUCACGAAGAACCCCGAUUGCGAAGGCAGCUUACUAGCCUGUGACUGACGUUGAUGCUCGAAAGUGUGGGUAUCAAACAGGAUUAGAUACCCCAGUAGUC
RNAcentral lists this ribosomal RNA (460 nucleotides) under uncultured bacterium. RNAcentral describes it as "partial 16S ribosomal RNA". It matches the Rfam family "Bacterial small subunit ribosomal RNA", at positions 338 to 795 of the family's 1533-position model. The record is from RNAcentral.